UAAUACGUAGGGGGCUAGCGUUGUCCGGAAUCAUUGGGCGUAAAGAGCGCGUAGGCGGCUGGAAUAGUCCGGUGUGAAAUCCACAGGCUUAACCUGUGAAUGCCGCUGGAAACUGUCUGGCUAGAGUCCGGAAGGGGCGAGUGGAAUUCCUGGUGUAGCGGUGAAAUGCGCAGAUAUCAGGAGGAACACCAAUGGCGAAGGCAGCUCGCUGGGACGGUACUGACGCUGAGGCGCGAAAGCGUGGGGAGCGAACAGGAUUAGAUACCCUGGUAGUCCACGCCGUAAACGAUGGGCACUAGGUGUGGGAGGUGUCGACUCCUCCCGUGCCGUAGCUAACGCACUAAGUGCCCCGCCUGGGGAGUACGGCCGCAAGGCUA
RNAcentral lists this ribosomal RNA (377 nucleotides) under uncultured bacterium. RNAcentral describes it as "bacterial SSU rRNA". It matches the Rfam family "Bacterial small subunit ribosomal RNA", at positions 521 to 896 of the family's 1533-position model. The record is from RNAcentral.